Molecule: ribosomal RNA, 396 nt
Filed under: uncultured Choricystis
Lineage: Eukaryota; Viridiplantae; Chlorophyta; Trebouxiophyceae
Description: partial small subunit ribosomal RNA
Rfam family: Eukaryotic small subunit ribosomal RNA
Source: RNAcentral
GCUUGUCUCAAAGAUUAAGCCAUGCAUGUCUUAGUGUAAAUAACUCUUAUGAAACUGCGAAUGGCUCAUUAAAUCAGUUAUAGUUUAUUUGAUGGUACCUACUACUCGGAUAACCGUAGUAAUUCUAGAGCUAAUACGUGCGUAAAUCCCGACUCCUGGAAGGGACGUAUUUAUUAGAUUUAAGGCCAACCGAGCUUGCUCGUCUCUUGGUGAAUCAUGAUAACUUCACGAAUCGCAUGGCCUCGUGCCGGCGAUGUUUCAUUCAAAUUUCUGCCCUAUCAACUUUCAACCGUAAGGUAGUGGCCUACGGUGGUGGUAACGGGUGACGGAGGAUUAGGGUUCGAUUCCGGAGAGGGAGCCUGAGAAACGGCUACCACAUCCAAGGAAGGCAGCAGG